RNAcentral lists this long non-coding RNA (258 nucleotides) under Homo sapiens (human). Its description in RNAcentral is "non-protein coding lnc-VGLL4-5:1". Lineage: Eukaryota; Metazoa; Chordata; Mammalia; Primates; Hominidae. The record is from RNAcentral.
GCAGAUAGUGGUUCCUGGUGCCUUCAAGGUUGUGCGUCUGAAGCCUAAAAUAAAGUCUGCCUACCUGGGGGUGGCUGGUUCAUGAGGUUGGCUGGAAGUACCAGGCAGUGACAGCUACCUGGAGGAGAAGAGGAAGGAGAAGGCCAAGAUCCACUACCAAAAGUAAAAACAGGCCAUGAGGCUGCAGAAACAGGUGGAAGAGAACGUGGAGAAGAAAACUGAUAAAUACAGAGUUCCUCAAGACCAUGGGCUCCUGGU